Molecule: transfer RNA, 55 nt
Filed under: Diaphorina citri (Asian citrus psyllid)
Lineage: Eukaryota; Metazoa; Arthropoda; Insecta; Hemiptera; Psyllidae
Rfam family: tRNA
About the family: Transfer RNA (tRNA) molecules are approximately 80 nucleotides in length.
Source: Rfam by way of RNAcentral
GCGUAGUGGUCACUGCACUCGCCUUGCACGCGGGAGACCCGGGUUCGAUUCCCGG